Long non-coding RNA from Meriones unguiculatus (Mongolian gerbil), 1846 nucleotides. RefSeq lists it as uncharacterized. The transcript is spliced from 5 exons. The record is from RefSeq and is a predicted model, not a curated record. NCBI's taxonomy places the organism in Eukaryota, Metazoa, Chordata, Mammalia, Rodentia, Muridae.
UGCCCGAGAGCCCGAGGAACAACCCCAUUGUAAUGACAGUGAGGUCAGAGCGAGGCGAAAACAACAGACCUGCUCGGGACGCAAAGCCCCGCUGGGCUCUCCGCAGCUCGGGGCCAACUCUGGAGUAGAGAAAGGGCACUUAUUGGGGCGGCCGUAUGGGCUGCUGGAGACGGUGGGAGGGAUGUAUGGGGGGGCGUCAAGAGUAUCAUCUGAGGAGCUAGAGCGGCCUCCGUAAAAGCCGCUGCGGGACCAGCGGCCACAGACCCGUUGGGCGCCGCAGCCCCCGUCCGCCGGGGCGGUCUGGGCUGCGGCAGGCGCGGGCGCUGUCCCUGGUGCUGAACGGCGCCGCGGUCGGUGCGCCUCCCGGGGUUCCGCUCCCUCGUCUCCCUUAGCCCCCCAUCCCUCCCCCCGAGGCCUGCAGCCCCUCAAGUGCGGCCCCAGCGUGGGCUCGGGGGGUCGGGCAGGGGCGGGGGGGUCUGGUGGCAGGUGCCUAGUGGCGCCCCCAGGUUGCCCCCCAGCCUGAGGCCGGGAGCUCUCCGCGGUGCUGCAAGGACCCGGAGCUCGGAGACCGCCCGGAGCUUGAAGGGUAAAAGCCCAGGAAGCAGUGGGAGACCAAUCGAGGCACUGCAGGGAGCAGACCCGGACCUGACGGCACCCACCCGGGCUCUCCAUAAAGCCGAGAUCCGGGUUCACUAUCGGAAUCCAAACGCACAGGGGCAGGGAAAUCAGGGUUGCUCAAGGGACAGGCGGGAUAGGGAAAGUUUGGCACGGCAGCGGCGGUGGUGGCAGCGGCCGGCAGCGGCCCCGGGGGUCCCGGUGGGGCGGCGGGGUCCCCGAAAGCCCCGGCCCGGUCUCCUCCUUACCUCCGUGCUUUCGGCCGCGUUCUCCGCCAUUUUCCUCCGGAGGAGCAGGCAGCGGGAGGAGUGUUUCAUGCCCAUAAGAGCCAACAAGGGUUUGGGGAUUCGAGAUAGUAAAGAAAGGGAGAGGCUGGCGCGGCUUUAAAAGAGAGCCAAAGAGCGCCGGAGGAAGGUGGGGGGGGGGGGAGAUCCCAGCCAGCCCCUCUGCCAGGGCGUCCUCCGCGACAACCGAGCUCGGUGGAGUCCCUCCCGCGGUCGCCACUUUGUUCACGUCCCCUCGCUCUUCAUCUGCCUCGCAUCCCCUUCGCGCACUUGCAAGUUCUGGUCGAGCUGGCGACCCCCUCCGCGCCCCUCUCCCCUGCGCGGCGGCGGGCUGGGCGGGAGGGAGGCGCCCCCCUCCCUUCCCCCGCGGGCUCGCCGGCGGGGGGUCUCCGCGGUUCCCAAGUCCGGUCCGGCCGGAGGCGGACGCCAACUCUCCCAACUUCUGCCGAGCCCGGGCUGAAGAAGCAACACGCGUCCUGCUCGGCUCGCCCGGGGGGCUGAGCGGGGCCCCAACACCAGAAGGGCUUCAAACCCCUCUCAGGAGGACCCGGGUGGGCCUUAAGCCAGGAAGUGUAAGAGUGACUGUCCUCAACUAACCCGGGUCCAUUGAGGAAAAGGGCCAAAACCAGGCUCAGUAUGAUGGAUGCUUCUAUCAGACCAGAGUCUCAGGCAAAGAGAAGAGACACUGCCAUAAGCGGAGAACCAGAGUAAAUGCAAGUGGAUGACCCAACCUUCUCAGCAGCAGACCUUAAUUCGAGUUGGGCAUGAAUGAGCAGAGUCUUUGGCAAUACACGGUCCUUCUUCGCUGCGGUUCUGACAUUCUGCCGAAAGCUGUGUGGGGGAGGGACAUAAGUGCACCUAAAGAGGGACUUUUACCCUCUGGUACCCCCUUUUUUCCCUAAGCAUCUUCUCUCAAAUAAAAAAAACUCUGCGAUGUUGGAUCAAAA